AUACGUAGGUGGCAAGCGUUGUCCGGAAUUAUUGGGCGUAAAGCGCGCGCAGGCGGUCCUUUAAGUCUGAUGUGAAAGCCCACGGCUCAACCGUGGAGGGUCAUUGGAAACUGGGGGACUUGAGUGCAGAAGAGGAAAGUGGAAUUCCAAGUGUAGCGGUGAAAUGCGUAGAGAUUUGGAGGAACACCAGUGGCGAAGGCGAUUUUCUGGUCUGUAACUGACGCUGAGGCGCGAAAGCGUGGGGAGCAAACAGGAUUAGAUACCCUGGUAGUCCACGCCGUAAACGAUGAGUGCUAAGUGUUAGGGGGUUUCCGCCCCUUAGUGCUGCAGCUAACGCAUUAAGCACUCCGCCUGGGGAGUACGGUCGCAAGACUGAAACUUAAAUGAAUUGGCGGGG
RNAcentral lists this ribosomal RNA (397 nucleotides) under uncultured bacterium. RNAcentral's name for it is "partial 16S ribosomal RNA". It matches the Rfam family "Bacterial small subunit ribosomal RNA", at positions 523 to 918 of the family's 1533-position model. The record is from RNAcentral.